GUUUGAUCCUGGCUCAGGACUAACGCUGGCGGCGUGCCUAACACAUGCAAGUCUGAGGAGAAUGGGAUUCGCAAGAUUCCCUAGUAAACUGGCGAAAGGGUGAGUAACACGUAGGUAACCUACCCUUCAGUGAGGAAUAACACUGGAAAACUGGUGCUAAUGCCACAUGAUAUCCCGAGUUCGCAUGGAUUUGGGAUCAAAGAGAGCUUCGGCAACGAAGCAUCGCUGUCGGAUGGGCCUGCGACCUAUUAGCUUGUUGGUGGGGUAACGGCCUACCAAGGCUACGAUGGGUAGCUGGUCUGAGAGGAUGAUCAGCCACACUGGCACUGAGACACGGGCCAGACUCCUACGGGAGGCAGCAGUGAGGAAUAUUGGGCAAUGGACGAAAGCCUGACCCAGCAACGCCGCGUGAGUGAUGAAGUACCGAGGUACGUAAAGCUCUGUUAGGAGGGACGAAUGUCCGGCUUGCCGGAAGUGACGGUACCUCCAAAGAAAGCUCCGGCUAGCUCCGUGCCAGCAGCCGCGGUAAUACGGGGGGAGCAAGCGUUGUCCGGAUUUAUUGGGCGUAAAGAGCGUGUAGGCGGGCCGAUAAGUCGGUGGUGAAAUCUCUCGGCUUAACCGAGAAAUAGCCAUCGAUACUGUCGGUCUUGAGUAUGGAAGAGGGAAGUAGAAUUCCUGGUGUAGCGGUGACAUGCGUAGAUAUCAGGAGGAAUACCAGUAGCGUAAGCGGCUUCCUGGUCCGUUACUGACGCUAAAACGCGAAAGCGUGGGGAGCAAACAGGAUUAGAUACCCUGGUAGUCCACGCCGUAAACGAUGGGUACUAGGUGUUGGAGGAUCGACCCCUUCAGUGCCGAAGCUAACGCAUUAAGUACCCCGCCUGGGAGUACGAUCGCAAGAUUGAAACUCAAAGGAAUUGACGGGGGCCCGCACAAGCGGUGGAGCAUGUGGUUUAAUUCGAUGCAACGCGAAGAACCUUACCCGGGCUUAAACUGCAGAGGAAAUCCGGUGAAAGCCGGCCCUCCUUCGGGAUCUCUGUAGAGGUGCUGCAUGGCUGUCGUCAGCUCGUGUCGUGAGAUGUUGGGUUAAGUCCCGCAACGAGCGCAACCCUUGUCCUUAGUUGCCAUCAGGUAAUGCUGGGCACUCUAGGGAGACUGCCUCGGAAGACGAGGAGGAAGGUGGGGAUGACGUCAAGUCCUCAUGGCCCUUACGUCCAGGGCUACACACGUGCUACAAUGGCCGGUACAAAGGGAUGCAAGACCGCGAGGUGGAGCCAAUCCCCAAAACCGGUCUCAGUUCGGAUUGGAGUCUGCAACUCGACUCCAUGAAGUUGGAAUCGCUAGUAAUCGCGAAUCAGCAGGUCGCGGUGAAUACGUUCCCGGGCCUUGUACACACCGCCCGUCACGCCAUGAAAGUCGGGAGUACCAGAAGCCGGUGGCCCAACCCGCAAGGGGGGGAGCCGUCAAAUGUAAGACCGAUGAUUGGGGCGAAGUCAACAAGGUA
Molecule: ribosomal RNA, 1501 nt
Filed under: metagenome
Description: bacterial SSU rRNA
Rfam family: Bacterial small subunit ribosomal RNA
Source: RNAcentral